RNAcentral lists this ribosomal RNA (253 nucleotides) under uncultured bacterium. Its description in RNAcentral is "partial 16S ribosomal RNA". It matches the Rfam family "Bacterial small subunit ribosomal RNA", at positions 524 to 776 of the family's 1533-position model. The record is from RNAcentral.
UACGGAGGUUGCAAGCGUUAUCCGGAUUUAUUGGGUUUAAAGGGUGCGUAGGCGGGAAUAUAAGUCAGUGGUGAAAACCUGCAGCUCAACUGUAGAACUGCCAUUGAUACUGUAUUUCUUGAGUUUAGUUGAGGUGGGCGGAAUGUGUAAUGUAGCGGUGAAAUGCUUAGAUAUUACACAGAACACCGAUUGCGUAGGCAGCUCACUAAACUAAAACUGACGCUGAGGCACGAAAGCGUGGGGAUCAAACAGG